This 1743-nucleotide long non-coding RNA is filed under the name Aedes aegypti (yellow fever mosquito). RNAcentral describes it as "lncRNA AAEL026132". The record is from RNAcentral. Lineage: Eukaryota; Metazoa; Arthropoda; Insecta; Diptera; Culicidae.
CUUUUCCAAAGUUGCUCUGCUUAAUGCAGUGGCUUUCAAUCGACAAACUUUGAAUUGGCUCCUACAAUCACUGAGGUUCAGAAGCAUCCCGCUCUACUUACAAUCACCAUUUCAACCAAAUCGAGUGUAAGAUUUCGUCUCCGCCAACUGUCUCGAUCGCGGGCGGUUUUAAAAUACCCCAAUUUCCGAAUCGAGACAGCUGCUGCAACCUUCAGGGCAUCCUUUCUAAUCGCGCGAAGCUAAUUUCGUAACACGGAAGUCUUGGUGCUGCACCCCUUAAUGCACCAUCUUAGAAAGAUUGCUCAGUUCAGUUCGCGAUAUCGACUGCUUCGGGCGUAGCAGCUUUUCCGGUUCAGAAAAAUUCCUUCGAAUUAGCAGCUGAAUUCGCUCCCGAAAAGUCGUGCGUGAGUUCGCGGAUCGGUUACGUUACGACAUUCGUCGCAAGAUUGUUCAAACGAAGGAACAGAACCUGUGAGCAGUCCUUUGAUCCAAUCUGCCGGAAAAAAGGUAGUGCACUCCAAAUAAUCUCUGGACAAAAGCUUCACAUCAACCUUCACACUGACGCAGCUGCUUGGCUGUGAACUGGCAAAGGUGGCCACCGAAGGGUCGAAAACGCUUUGGGAAGCUCGGUGUAGUAACCGAAGCAGCAGAACUAGUAGCAGGCGUGGCUCGAGUUCUAGUUCCAGCAGUGCCAGUAGCAGACACAGCAGUCGCAGUUCGGAUAGAAAAGUGAAAAGUCUCGGCAGUAGCGGAAGUACCAGCGGACCCGAAUUCAUGCCAGAGGAACUAAUGCACCAAACGAGGAUCGUGCCAAUACAGGCGUGCGGAAUUAUUAUUCACCGUAUACCACCAAGUAAGCAGAGCACGAAUGCACGCCACUUUUUUUUCCAUUAGGCCUGGGUUUGUGGGCACUUCACUCCCCUUCACUGUUUGUUUGUGGUUUCUAAAAGAGCGUCUUUGUUUACUUAUUCUGUGCGUCGUCGGAAGUUUUCUGAUCAACUCUUCAGCGGUGUAAAAUUAUCUCAAUUCGUCUCAUGAUAAUCCUGUUUAUUUGUAGGAAGUAAUACUAUAAAAUGUGUUCUAACGAUUCAAGAAUAGAAUUGUUGAAUCAUAAGAGUAACAGUAAAUAACACAAAAGUAGCAAGGAAAUCAUUUCACUGAAAAACUUGUUCUGUCAUUUAAUCUUCCGUAUAAAUAGUAUGCCUUUCUAUAUCUCCCUUUUCCCUUAUCGGCCUGCAUUCUGAUGCAUAGAAGAUAGAAGAUACCCAACAAUGGAAAUGCCUUUUCGUCCCAAAAACAAUCAUUUGGUUGAAGCCUUUCAAAAGCAGAGCGAUGUGCUAAUUUCCAUCGUAUUAAGCUUUGAUCAGUGAGAACCUGCAAUUUUCCUAGUUUUGCAGUAAAUAUUGCUGAUACAAACCAAUGCCAAACGAUUCUUUCCCAUUGUGAAAUAAGAUUUUGGUAAAUCUUGAUCGUUUGUUUGGAAAUAAUGCAAUAAAAUUAUUACUUAUCGUUGCCUAUAUUCGUCGUAUCUAUUUUUAUUUUUGUCACACUCAGUUUUUAUUCCUCUCACAACUAACAGUUCACUGUUAUAUAGUGAGUGGUCAAAAUACUGCACUUCAACGUAAUAAUAAAAUGGUUUCCUACGUGGCUCAAUUGAUCGCUAAUCAGAUUUCGCUCGGUACGUCUUCGUCCAUGCGAUUUCUAUGAAAGAAAAGUGCAAAGUGGAUCAUUGAAGUGAAGUUA